RNAcentral lists this unclassified non-coding RNA (209 nucleotides) under Hevea brasiliensis (rubber tree). Lineage: Eukaryota; Viridiplantae; Streptophyta; Magnoliopsida; Malpighiales; Euphorbiaceae. The record is from RNAcentral.
GGGAAAGUGCAAACUGUGGUGGGAGAUUUGGCGACGCAAGGGGAAAGAGCACAGGCGAUUCUGGGGUGGAGAGAUCCGAGGGCCACAGCACUGUUCAUAAUCUUCGCGUUGAUGUGGGCGGUUUUCAUCUACGUUACGCCGUUUCAGGUGGUGGCAAUUCUGAUCGGAUUGUAUGUGCUCCGCCACCCGAGAUUCAGGAGGAAGUUGCC